This is a long non-coding RNA of Manis javanica (Malayan pangolin), 413 nucleotides long. RefSeq lists it as uncharacterized. Lineage: Eukaryota; Metazoa; Chordata; Mammalia; Pholidota; Manidae. The record is from RefSeq and is a predicted model, not a curated record.
AAGGACACACAGAUGCUCCAGAAAUGAGCCCAGAGAGGUCAAGUAAUCGGCCAGGGGCCACACAGGGAAUGCCAGAAAGAUUCUGAAAGAACCCAAGUCAUAUCCUGUCCUUCCUCCACCUACAACCUUCCAUGGCUCUCUACUCACUCAGGAAAAAUAUAAGCUUCACCGUGGCCCAGGCCCUGCCCAGCUCUCCUGUCUCACCACCACUGUCCACCACCUGCCUCCUCAGAUCUGGGCUCCUGCCAGAUGGGGAAAUGAGACAGGGAAGUGAAGCUGAUUAAGCAAUGGAACUUGGUAUGAAGACCAUGUCUAACUUUAAAGGCUGUCCUUGUGCAAAGAAGAGAGACAUAGAAAACUGAUGAUAUCAUUCAAGUACCUGGAUCCAGCUAUGCCUGAAGCAAACCCACCCC